RNAcentral lists this ribosomal RNA (460 nucleotides) under uncultured archaeon. RNAcentral's name for it is "bacterial SSU rRNA". It matches the Rfam family "Archaeal small subunit ribosomal RNA", at positions 364 to 824 of the family's 1478-position model. The record is from RNAcentral.
ACAGCGAUAAGGGAACCUCGAGUGCCAGGUUACAAAUCUGGCUGUCGAGAUGCCUAAAAAGCAUUUCAUAGCAAGGGCCGGGCAAGACCGGUGCCAGCCGCCGCGGUAACACCGGCGGCUCGAGUGGUAACCGUUAUUAUUGGGUCUAAAGGGUCUGUAGCCGGCCGGAUAAGUCUCUUGAGAAAUCUGGCAGCUUAACUGUCAGGCUUUCAGGAGAUACUGUCUGGCUCGAGGCCGGGAGAGGUGAGAGGUACUUCAGGGGUAGGGGUGAAAUCUUGUAAUCCUUGAAGGACCACCAGUGGCGAAGGCGUCUCACCAGAACGGACCUGACGGCAAGGGACGAAAGCUAGGGGCACGAACCGGAUUAGAUACCCGGGUAGUCCUAGCCGUAAACGAUACUCGCUAGGUGUCGGCCACGGUGCGACCGUUGUCGGUGCCGUAGGGAAGCCGUGAAGCGAGC